CAGCCUUGAACACUUGCUUUUCUUGCUGAAUAGCAACCCAAGUGGGACAAUAUUUUUGUUAUCAAACUUUCAAAGAAAGUUAAAUAGCAGCCAGGAUGGAAAAUUACUGUGGCUGAAGCCCACUGUCUCAUGACCAUAUAAACAGUGGUGCAAAGUGAGAGCCUUGGGGCUCUCCUGGACUGCAGCAGGCUGAGAACAGCCCCUCUCUCUGAGUGGGGCCUCUCAGAGCAAAAGAGCUCUCAACGUGGCUGUUCCUGCAGGACCAUCCCCAAACCACGGCACAGAGCCUGGGCUGAUACCCCCACUCCUGGGGGCUCAACCCUGAGGAGAUGCAAAGACAUCCCAUGUGAACUCAAGGGAAUUUUCACAGGAGUCACACCUUUCCUAAAGGAAAAGAGAGCACUCUGGCACCAGCUGCCUUGCACAAAAAGACAGUGCUCAUGUGAAGAGUGGUUUGGGAUGCACUGCCAUGCACAUAUUGCCCAGACCAAGAAAACAAAAGCACUGGUAAGAAUGAAGCCUUAAAGGAAAAACUCCUGCC
This 541-nucleotide long non-coding RNA is filed under the name Taeniopygia guttata (zebra finch). RNAcentral's name for it is "lncRNA (ENSTGUG00000022425.1)". The record is from RNAcentral. Lineage: Eukaryota; Metazoa; Chordata; Aves; Passeriformes; Estrildidae.